This is a long non-coding RNA of Spodoptera frugiperda (fall armyworm), 299 nucleotides long. RefSeq lists it as uncharacterized. The transcript is spliced from 3 exons. Lineage: Eukaryota; Metazoa; Arthropoda; Insecta; Lepidoptera; Noctuidae. The record is from RefSeq and is a predicted model, not a curated record.
GUUGAUAUGUGUAGCAUUAGUAUUAUUGCGACACCUUGACGUUAUGGAAUUUUCCUGAAAUUAAAUAAACGUAUCAUCGGUAAAUGAUUGUUACUACUAAAUAUGUUGCAUUACAAGUUUAAUUUUGAAAUUGAAAACAUUAAACAGCUACAUACGCAUCAGAAUUUGGAGUUGUAUAAAGACGAUGGGACUCGGAUUAAUUCUUAAGGAAAAUUAGAAGUACAUCAUUUUUAUCAGAUAAGUUCUAACAGUGCGGAAGAUUAAACAAUUCUCAGAGCAUGGGUGCAUACAAUACGUCA